GAUGACUCAUGUGCCAUCUCAAAGGCCUGAUGGGAUUGUUAGCCAGAAUUCCAACUCGCCGGGGUUUGGGGCAAACAACAGAACCCUUGGAAUCAUAUAUUGAAACCAAGCCUCUAGUCUCAUCACAGGAGGCACUGGCGUUCUUAUGAAGAUUUAAGUGAUUCAUCUUCAAAUUUGCACAAUAAUUCUACAAAAGAACGCCUGGAGGAAUCCUCCGGUGGAAGAAAAUCAGGACAAGGUG
This 241-nucleotide unclassified non-coding RNA is filed under the name Hevea brasiliensis (rubber tree). Lineage: Eukaryota; Viridiplantae; Streptophyta; Magnoliopsida; Malpighiales; Euphorbiaceae. The record is from RNAcentral.